GAUGAACGCUGGCGGCGUGCCUAAUACAUGCAAGUCGAGCGAACAGACGAGGAGCUUGCUCCUCUGACGUUAGCGGCGGACGGGUGAGUAACACGUGGAUAACCUACCUAUAAGACUGGGAUAACUUCGGGAAACCGGAGCUAAUACCGGAUAAUAUAUUGAAUCGCAUGGUUCAAUAGUGAAAGACGGUCUUGCUGUCACUUAUAGAUGGAUCCGCGCCGCAUUAGCUAGUUGGUAAGGUAACGGCUUACCAAGGCAACGAUGCGUAGCCGACCUGAGAGGGUGAUCGGCCACACUGGAACUGAGACACGGUCCAGACUCCUACGGGAGGCAGCAGUAGGGAAUCUUCCGCAAUGGGCGAAAGCCUGACGGAGCAACGCCGCGUGAGUGAAGAAGGUCUUCGGAUCGUAAAACUCUGUUAUUAGGGAAGAACAAAUGUGUAAGUAACUAUGCACGUCUUGACGGUACCUAAUCAGAAAGCCACGGCUAACUACGUG
RNAcentral lists this ribosomal RNA (497 nucleotides) under uncultured bacterium. Its description in RNAcentral is "partial 16S ribosomal RNA". It matches the Rfam family "Bacterial small subunit ribosomal RNA", at positions 28 to 507 of the family's 1533-position model. The record is from RNAcentral.